Molecule: non-coding RNA, 31 nt
Filed under: Mus musculus (house mouse)
Lineage: Eukaryota; Metazoa; Chordata; Mammalia; Rodentia; Muridae
Source: RNAcentral
UGACAUGUUUGACAAUGAGGUGAUCACUAGU